RNAcentral lists this ribosomal RNA (305 nucleotides) under uncultured bacterium. RNAcentral's name for it is "bacterial SSU rRNA". It matches the Rfam family "Bacterial small subunit ribosomal RNA", at positions 333 to 636 of the family's 1533-position model. The record is from RNAcentral.
UUUGUCCUACGGGACGCAGCAGUGAGGAAUAUUGGUCAAUGGGAGAGAUCCCGAACCAGCCAAGCCGCGUGAGGGAAGACGGCCCUAUGGGUUGUAAACCUCUUUUGUCGGAGAACAAAACCCGGGACGAGUCCCGGACUGCGUGUAUCCGAAGAAAAAGCAUCGGCUAACUCCGUGCCAGCAGCCGCGGUAAUACGGAGGAUGCGAGCGUUAUCCGGAUUUAUUGGGUUUAAAGGGUGCGUAGGCGGUCUGUUAAGUCAGCGGUAAAAUUGCGGGGCUCAACCCCGUCGAGCCGUUGAAACUGG